Pelobates cultripes (western spadefoot toad) is the source of this 372-nucleotide non-coding RNA. Lineage: Eukaryota; Metazoa; Chordata; Amphibia; Anura; Pelobatidae. The record is from the annotation of a GenBank genome assembly.
GAACACUCCAAGUGCUUUGGUUUCUUUCCAGAUAAUUUGUAACAUUGUUUUAGAAUGGCUUGCCAUCUUUCCUUGGGUAUCUGCACUGCAUCCAGCUUCUCCUUAAGGCUGCAUCUGGCUUCUUCAUUGAGUGCCAUCUGCUGAUUCUCUCAGCCAAUAAAAGCAGCCAUGCAUUGCCCUGCUUGACUCAGUGAAGCUAACUGGAUUCUCCUGCCAGGCAACCUGAAAGCAGAGCUAUGGUUGCAUGUGCCCAGCAGGACCAGGUAAAUUGUCAAAACCAUUCUAGAAUGAAUUUGUCUGUCAUGUCAGGCACCAUAACCACUCUUAAGGUCCAUAAUGGUUAUGGUGCUUGGAGUGUUCCUUUGAGAGAAG